UGACUUGCCUUCCACCCCAG
This 20-nucleotide microRNA is filed under the name Mus musculus (house mouse). Its description in RNAcentral is "mmu-miR-6980-3p". Lineage: Eukaryota; Metazoa; Chordata; Mammalia; Rodentia; Muridae. The record is from miRBase by way of RNAcentral.